GGCGUAAAGCGCGCGCAGGCGGUCCUUUAAGUCUGAUGUGAAAGCCCACGGCUCAACCGUGGAGGGUCAUUGGAAACUGGGGGACUUGAGUGCAGAAGAGGAAAGUGGAAUUCCAAGUGUAGCGGUGAAAUGCGUAGAGAUUUGGAGGAACACCAGUGGCGAAGGCGACUUUCUGGUCUGUAACUGACGCUGAGGCGCGAAAGCGUGGGGAGCAAACAGGAUUAGAUACCCUGGUAGUCCACGCCGUAAACGAUGAGUGCUAAGUGUUAGGGGGUUUCCGCCCCUUAGUGCUGCAGCUAACGCAUUAAGCACUCCGCCUGGGGAGUACGGUCGCAAGACUGAAACUCAAAGGAAUUGACGGGGGCCCGCACAAGCGGUGGAGCAUGUGGUUUAAUUCGAAUCAACGCGAAGAACCUUACCAGGUCUUGACAUCCCGGUGACCACUGUAAAGAUAUGGUUUUCCCUUCGGAGACCACGGUGAGAGGUGGUGCGUGGUUGUCGUCAUCUCGUGUCGUGAGAU
This 520-nucleotide ribosomal RNA is filed under the name Lysinibacillus sphaericus. Its description in RNAcentral is "bacterial SSU rRNA". It matches the Rfam family "Bacterial small subunit ribosomal RNA", at positions 557 to 1073 of the family's 1533-position model. The record is from RNAcentral. Lineage: Bacteria; Bacillati; Bacillota; Bacilli; Caryophanales; Bacillaceae.